RNAcentral lists this transfer RNA (71 nucleotides) under Rattus norvegicus (Norway rat). It matches the Rfam family "tRNA". Rfam says of the family: Transfer RNA (tRNA) molecules are approximately 80 nucleotides in length. Their secondary structure includes four short double-helical elements and three loops (D, anti-codon, and T loops). Further hydrogen bonds mediate the characteristic L-shaped molecular structure. tRNAs have two regions of fundamental functional importance: the anti-codon, which is responsible for specific mRNA codon recognition, and the 3' end, to which the tRNAs corresponding amino acid is attached (by aminoacyl-tRNA synthetases). tRNAs cope with the degeneracy of the genetic code in two manners: having more than one tRNA (with a specific anti-codon) for a particular amino acid; and 'wobble' base-pairing, i.e. permitting non-standard base-pairing at the 3rd anti-codon position. The record is from Rfam by way of RNAcentral. Lineage: Eukaryota; Metazoa; Chordata; Mammalia; Rodentia; Muridae.
GGGGAUUUAGCUCAGUGGUAGAGCGCUUGCCUAGCAAGCGCAAGGCCCUGGGUUCGGUCCCCCACUCCCCC